Molecule: ribosomal RNA, 467 nt
Filed under: uncultured bacterium
Lineage: Bacteria
Description: partial 16S ribosomal RNA
Rfam family: Bacterial small subunit ribosomal RNA
Source: RNAcentral
GACGAACGCUGGCGGCGUGCUUAACACAUGCAAGUCGAACGGAAAGGCCUCUUUCGUGGGGUACUCGAGUGGCGAACGGGUGAGUAACACGUGAGUAACUUGCCCUUCACUUUGGGAUAACUUCAUGAAACUGGGGCGAAUACCUGAUAGGAGCUCCUGUGGCACGGUUGGGUCUGGAAAGUUUCGGCGGUUGGGGAUGGAUUCGCGGCUUAUCAGCUUGUUGUUGGGGUAUUGGCUUACCAAGGCUUUGACGGGUAGCCGGCCUGAGAAGGUGAGCGGCCACCUUGGGACUGAGAUACGGCCGCGACUGCUAAGGGAGGCAGAAGUGGGGAAUAUUGCACGAUGAGUGGAGGCCUGAUGCAGCAACGCCGUGUGCGGGAUGACGGCCUUCGGGUUGUAGACCGCUUUCGCUCGUGACGAAGCUUUGUGUGACGGUAGUGGGUCAAGAAGCACCGGCUAACUACGUG